RNAcentral lists this ribosomal RNA (560 nucleotides) under Shigella sp. RNAcentral describes it as "bacterial SSU rRNA". It matches the Rfam family "Bacterial small subunit ribosomal RNA", at positions 801 to 1361 of the family's 1533-position model. The record is from RNAcentral. Lineage: Bacteria; Pseudomonadati; Pseudomonadota; Gammaproteobacteria; Enterobacterales; Enterobacteriaceae.
CGUAAACGAUGUCGACUUGGAGGUUGUGCCCUUGAGGCGUGGCUUCCGGAGCUAACGCGUUAAGUCGACCGCCUGGGGAGUACGGCCGCAAGGUUAAAACUCAAAUGAAUUGACGGGGGCCCGCACAAGCGGUGGAGCAUGUGGUUUAAUUCGAUGCAACGCGAAGAACCUUACCUGGUCUUGACAUCCACGGAAGUUUUCAGAGAUGAGAAUGUGCCUUCGGGAACCGUGAGACAGGUGCUGCAUGGCUGUCGUCAGCUCGUGUUGUGAAAUGUUGGGUUAAGUCCCGCAACGAGCGCAACCCUUAUCCUUUGUUGCCAGCGGUCCGGCCGGGAACUCAAAGGAGACUGCCAGUGAUAAACUGGAGGAAGGUGGGGAUGACGUCAAGUCAUCAUGGCCCUUACGACCAGAGCUACACACGUGCUACAAUGGCGCAUACAAAGAGAAGCGACCUCGCGAGAGCAAGCGGACCUCAUAAAGUGCGUCGUAGUCCGGAUUGGAGUCUGCAACUCGACUCCAUGAAGUCGGAAUCGCUAGUAAUCGUGGAUCAGAAUGCCACG